CCUGGUGGCUCAGAUGGUAAUGAGUCUGCCUGAAAUGCAGGAGACUGGGUUCAAUCCUGCAUCAGGA
This 67-nucleotide transfer RNA is filed under the name Ovis aries (sheep). It matches the Rfam family "tRNA". From Rfam's summary of the family: Transfer RNA (tRNA) molecules are approximately 80 nucleotides in length. Their secondary structure includes four short double-helical elements and three loops (D, anti-codon, and T loops). Further hydrogen bonds mediate the characteristic L-shaped molecular structure. tRNAs have two regions of fundamental functional importance: the anti-codon, which is responsible for specific mRNA codon recognition, and the 3' end, to which the tRNAs corresponding amino acid is attached (by aminoacyl-tRNA synthetases). tRNAs cope with the degeneracy of the genetic code in two manners: having more than one tRNA (with a specific anti-codon) for a particular amino acid; and 'wobble' base-pairing, i.e. permitting non-standard base-pairing at the 3rd anti-codon position. Lineage: Eukaryota; Metazoa; Chordata; Mammalia; Artiodactyla; Bovidae. The record is from Rfam by way of RNAcentral.